Molecule: ribosomal RNA, 427 nt
Filed under: uncultured bacterium
Lineage: Bacteria
Description: partial 16S ribosomal RNA
Rfam family: Bacterial small subunit ribosomal RNA
Source: RNAcentral
UGGGGAAUAUUGGACAAUGGGCGAAAGCCUGAUCCAGCCAUGCCGCGUGUGUGAAGAAGGUCUUCGGAUUGUAAAGCACUUUAAGUUGGGAGGAAGGGCAUUAACCUAAUACGUUAGUGUUUUGACGUUACCGACAGAAUAAGCACCGGCUAACUCUGUGCCAGCAGCCGCGGUAAUACAGAGGGUGCAAGCGUUAAUCGGAAUUACUGGGCGUAAAGCGCGCGUAGGUGGUUUGUUAAGUUGGAUGUGAAAUCCCCGGGCUCAACCUGGGAACUGCAUUCAAAACUGACUGACUAGAGUAUGGUAGAGGGUGGUGGAAUUUCCUGUGUAGCGGUGAAAUGCGUAGAUAUAGGAAGGAACACCAGUGGCGAAGGCGACCACCUGGACUAAUACUGGCACUGAGGUGCGAAAGCGUGGGGAGCAAACA